UACAGAGGGUGCGAGCGUUAAUCGGAUUUACUGGGCGUAAAGGGCGCGUAGGCGGUUGAGUGAGUGUGAUGUGAAAGCCCCGGGCUUAACCUGGGAAGUGCAUCGCAAACGACUUAACUGGAGUAGGUGAGAGGGUGGCGGAAUUUCCGGUGUAGCGGUGAAAUGCGUAGAGAUCGGAAGGAACGUCAAUGGCGAAGGCAGCCACCUGGCACCAUACUGACGCUGAGGCGCGAGAGCGUGGGGAGCGAACAGG
RNAcentral lists this ribosomal RNA (253 nucleotides) under uncultured Aquicella sp. RNAcentral's name for it is "partial 16S ribosomal RNA". It matches the Rfam family "Bacterial small subunit ribosomal RNA", at positions 524 to 776 of the family's 1533-position model. Lineage: Bacteria; Pseudomonadati; Pseudomonadota; Gammaproteobacteria; Legionellales; Coxiellaceae. The record is from RNAcentral.